Molecule: long non-coding RNA, 785 nt
Organism: Brassica oleracea var. oleracea
Lineage: Eukaryota; Viridiplantae; Streptophyta; Magnoliopsida; Brassicales; Brassicaceae
Exons: 4
Source: RefSeq, a predicted model, not a curated record
GAGAGACAAAAAAGGCGAAGAAGGAGGCAGAAACAUGGGUGUUUUGGGACUUAAACAGCUGUCCGGUUCCCAAAGAUUGCGAUGCUCGUCUGGUCGGUUCGUCUAUAGAAUCGGCUUUGAAGAAGGCAGGUCACUGUGAAGGUCAUCUUUACCAUCUCUGCCAUUGGCAACCUCAAUUACAUCUUACAACUAAACUCUCAUGUACUUCAGGCCCUCUUUUCGACUGGAAUUUGUCUUUCACACCCCUCCCGGUUAAUCUUCCUAUCUGUUUCUCCCAGAAAAAUAAGGGUUUUUCACUGACGCUAUUGAUGAUUUAUUGCGGUAUAACAUUAAUAUUCCAUCUCGGGCUACUGUAAUGAUCAUUACCGGUGCUGUGCACGUGGAUCGUGUAACUGCUCAUUUCCCCUACCUACGGUCUGAGGGAUACACCCCUCUUCUGGCAUAUCCGGGCAAUUCUAAAGAGCUUACUUCUAGAAAGAACUUUUCCUGGGAGACCUUAUUGAAAGAGGAGAUGGGCCCCUCUGAUAUAGAUGAAUCUUUUCAGAGUUUGUUUUCUUGCAAACUAUGCUCAGCUGAUGGCGAAGUCUUUGAAGAUUUCAACACGCAUCUCAAGAGUAGAGAUCAUUUAGAGCGUGAGUUGUGCAAGCAGAGGAGACCUCCACUCAAGAGGAAGAUGGAGAAGCCAGAUUUCAAUGUUUCUGAAUACAAUAACUGUUGGGGUCAAAAUCGGUUACGACGGAAUCAAUGUUUAAAAGUCCCCAGAAAAUAUUUACCGCAGUAAAAAC